Onychostoma macrolepis is the source of this 1322-nucleotide long non-coding RNA. RefSeq lists it as uncharacterized. The record is from RefSeq and is a predicted model, not a curated record. The transcript is spliced from 3 exons. Lineage: Eukaryota; Metazoa; Chordata; Actinopteri; Cypriniformes; Cyprinidae.
AGUCUUAGAUGGUUUCUAAUAUAUAUUUCUCAUUACAGAUAAGAACAAAGAUUAAAUUGUAAGAAGAGCUGCUUGUAAGAGCAUACAGUACAUCUGAAACUGCUGAGGCUGGGAAGGUUUUUGACUAUAUUUGUCACGAAUCCAGUCUGCACUUCCAUUCACCCUCCACCAGAGGUCACUCGCUCACCACAUGGACUUCACACCAUACAUAACAAUGGACUUCAUUUCCCAUCAUCCAACACUGAUCACAGCUGUCACCAAUCACUCAUUGCACUAAUCACACGCACACCUGAUCCCACGCACACACUGAUCAUACACCUUAUAUAAACCCUGGACUUUGUUUCCCUCGUGGCCGAGUAUUGUAUGCGUUUACCGCUCCCCUAGCCGUAGCUACUCUACAGAGCCCUUGUCAGUAUCAUAGUCUUGGAUUACCUGUUCACCUGUGUUUGUUUCUAACCCGUGUUUCCUGGAUUAACCCUUUCUGUGCCGUUCCGUGUUUCAUUUCAGUUCCUGUAUUGUUCUGUGUUUUUCACUCCCCUAGUGUUAGCUGCGAUAUGGAACUUUUGUUGUUUUCUAGUCUGUUCCUAGUGUUUACCCCCGUCUCCCUGUUCGGACUCUUGAUUAUUUCCCUUGCCUGGAUAUUAGCUCGUGUACCUGAAUUAUCUCUCUGCCGUGUCCCAUUGGAUUCUGUUUGCCGAUCGUUGACCCACGCUUGCCCUAGGUUUACUGUCUUGUCCCUGCCAUACCUGUUUGCCAUUGUUUCGACCCUGCCUGUAUUUAUGACCAUGCCUUUAAAUAAAAGCUUGCACAUGGAUCCGCAUGUCUCGCGUCUCGUCAGCCACGUUACAAUAUUUCCGACCAGAUCAGCUGCUAUAGAAGACAAACUGAAAUCUGAGUGCAGAGACAAGCAAAGGAAUACUGCAAGGCACUUGUGCAAAAUAUUGUAUGCCAGGACGACUAGGCUGUGACGCUCAGCUCCAUCGGCCCUCCAUCUACAUCUUGGCUCCUCCCUCCCUCGACUCCACUGUGUAUUGUCAGCACUGGGAUGCUCUGGGUCUGUGCCAUGUGCCAAACUCCAUCUAAGCCGCCAGGGCAUCAUCGUCAUCCUCCCAUCACCAUCCCUUCACCACAUCCUGCCAUCAUCCCGCACCUUUGCCUCUCACCAUUCCUACACCAUCUCCUCGUCCACCUCCAAAACCCCCUCCAUCUCUCCCUAUUCUGUUGCUUGAACUUUAUCAUCUUCAGUCUUUGCACACACAUCUAUUCACUUCUGCACUGUUUUUCUGUACAUUUUUUUGUUUUGUUUUUUCUUCAGAAAAUUG